CCACACCCAGGAAGCUUCUCUUCUAUUAGUCUCUCCAAUUGCUGCAAAUAUCCACUCCUAAAAGUCCCAUUAUCGCCCCUCCAACCUCCUCGGGUUACCAACUCAACCAAUGCCUCAACAAGCUUUGCAUCCUCCACAUAACCCCAUUUUCUGUUGCACUUUGUUCUUUUGUUUCCUGUUGAUGCUUCUCCAGCUAUUGAGGUGCUCAUAUCUACAUUCACAAUCUCAUAUAUUAUAAAUAUACAUUCACAAUCUACAAUGUAUAAUAGUUAUACAUUCACAACCUCACGACAUGAUCUUACAUUUGCAUUAUCUAAAUGAAUGGAUACAAGGGAACUAUUAAGUAAGAAUUUGACAUAACACAAGAUUAUAAUAUAGCAAGGAAAAUAUUAAACAAGGAUUACAGCAUAACACAUAAUGUUCAUACAAAUAUUAAGAGCCCCAAAUAUUAAACACAACAAACAUCACAAUUUUUUCUCAAAUUCUAUUAUGCUGCCACUCUUCAAACAUUUGGGCAGCAAGAUUAGCUCUGAAUGCAUUCCAAGAUGCAGAUGACUCAAUAUACUCAAUAUAUGCACCCUGCUCCUGUGGAAAAUUGCCAUGAGAGCACUCCUC
Molecule: long non-coding RNA, 615 nt
Filed under: Phoenix dactylifera (date palm)
Lineage: Eukaryota; Viridiplantae; Streptophyta; Magnoliopsida; Arecales; Arecaceae
Description: long non-coding RNA (PDAC_LNC020601)
Source: RNAcentral